This 441-nucleotide ribosomal RNA is filed under the name uncultured bacterium. Its description in RNAcentral is "partial 16S ribosomal RNA". It matches the Rfam family "Bacterial small subunit ribosomal RNA", at positions 338 to 795 of the family's 1533-position model. The record is from RNAcentral.
CCUACGGGUGGCAGCAGUCGGGAAUAUUGCGCAAUGGGGGCAACUCUGACGCAGCAACGCCGCGUGUUUGAAGAAGGCCUUCGGGUUGUAAAGAUCUUUAAUCGGGGACGAAUUUUGACGGUACCCGAAGAAUAAGCUCCGGCUAACUACGUGCCAGCAGCCGCGGUAAUACGUAGGGAGCAAGCGUUAUCCGGAUUUACUGGGUGUAAAGGGCGUGUAGGCGGGCAUGCAAGCCAGUAGUGAAAUCUGGGGGCUUAACCCCGGAACUGCUUUUGGAACUACGUGUCUUGAGUGCUGGAGAGGCAGGCGGAAUUCCCAGUGUAGCGGUGAAAUGCGUAGAUAGUGGGAGGAACACCAGUGGCGAAGGCGACCUGCUGGACAGUAACUGACGCUGAGGCGCGAAAGCGUGGGGAGCAAACAGGAUUAGAUACCCGGGUAGUC